RNAcentral lists this transfer RNA (64 nucleotides) under Dielma fastidiosa. It matches the Rfam family "tRNA", at positions 6 to 65 of the family's 71-position model. Rfam says of the family: Transfer RNA (tRNA) molecules are approximately 80 nucleotides in length. RNAcentral also lists the same sequence under 1 other name. The record is from RNAcentral. Lineage: Bacteria; Bacillati; Bacillota; Erysipelotrichia; Erysipelotrichales; Erysipelotrichaceae.
AUUAGCUCAACUGGAUAGAGCGUUUGACUACGGAUCAAAAGGUUGUGGGUUCGAUUCCUGCAUG